GAUGAACGCUGGCGGCGUGCCUAAUACAUGCAAGUCGAGCGAACAGACGAGGAGCUUGCUCCUCUGUCGUUAGCGGCGGACGGGUGAGUAACACGUGGAUAACCUACCUAUAAGACUGGGAUAACUUCGGGAAACCGGAGCUAAUACCGGAUAAUAUAUUGAACCGCAUGGUUCAAUAGUGAAAGACGGUUUUGCUGUCACUUAUAGAUGGAUCCGCGCCGCAUUAGCUAGUUGGUAAGGUAACAGCUUACCAAGGCAACGAUGCGUAGCCGACCUGAGAGGGUGAUCGGCCACACUGGAACUGAGACACGGUCCAGACUCUUACGGGAGGCAGCAGUAGGGAAUCUUCCGCAAUGGGCGAAAGCCUGACGGAGCAACGCCGCGUGAGUGAUGAAGGUCUUCGGAUCGUAAAACUCUGUUAUUAGGGAAGAACAAAUGUGUAAGUAACUAUGCACGUCUUGACGGUACCUAAUCAGAAAGCCACGGCUAACUACGUG
Molecule: ribosomal RNA, 497 nt
Filed under: uncultured bacterium
Lineage: Bacteria
Description: partial 16S ribosomal RNA
Rfam family: Bacterial small subunit ribosomal RNA
Source: RNAcentral